CACAAUGGUUCUGGGUCCUGUUGUCUUUCCAUCUAUCGCUGUGUUAGUCCUCAUGAUGCAAGCCAAUCAAAAAGCACAGGAGCUGUCCAAUGCUUUGCUGUUGUGUUGUGCUGUUAAAGGCCGGUGUAUUAAUGAAUGUAUUUGUCCAGAUGUGAACUCUGUGCUCCCACCCUGUCGUGGUGGUGUGCAUGACGCAUGAGGAGCUAAGGUAGAGCGGGGUAACCAUUGAAGAGGAGGGUUCCUGUGCGAUGGACACAGGAAGUGAUAGUACUAUUUCUACUACUUCUUUUACUACUACUAAUUUGAGUGAAAAAAAAAGUCCAGUUAUGUGUGACUCAUGCAUAUGUUGCUGAGUAUAUGUGUAUGUUGUGUGUGUUGGCAUGGGUCGACUGCUUAAAAAAAAAAAGAUAUUUGUUUUGUCUUUAUUUUUUAUUUUUAAUGGUCCUGAAUUCAUGUAGAUUAAUGGUUAAGACUCACGGAAGAAAAGAAAAAAGGAUGAUUUCUUGUCUUUUUCUUCUAGUUUUUCUUUUGAAAUCAGAAUACCAUCGUUUAAAUUGUUUUUCUUGAACUUUGUCAAAUGAAACAAGUUUUCCCUUGUUUGAAACGAUACACUAAUGUACAUUUAAAUUUGAAUGGUCAUUUCUCCUUUAAUUUACAAGUUGUUGGUGUCUGUGGUACUUUUUAAGAUAAGGCAUGUCAGAAAGCUUUAAUUUUUCAUGCUUUCUAGACAUUUUUUUGCUUUGAGGUGAGGGCAUUGUAUAGUGAAUAUUAAGUUUAAGUCUUUUCGAUGAUAAAAUUAAAAACAAGAUUUACUAUUGUACAAAUUACAGCAGAAUUUUUAAAAAAAUUAUAUAAAUUCAUUGAUAAUUCCUUUGAUUUUGGUUGUGUGGAGAUUAAAAGGUUCUGCUCAAGGUGCAUGAAUUUGUUUGCUUCAGUUGUUUCUGUGCUCACUCCACCAACGCUCUUGUCCCAAUGUCCAUAAUGCUUCCUACUAAUGUAGAUUUGUGCUGAAUUUUCUUUAUUUGAAACUAGUGCCUUCAGAAUGAUAUUUGCCACAGUUUUAAAAUUGAAACGUAUGACAUAUGUUACGAGAUUGAUUAUUCCUCUUUACUGAAUGAUUAAGAAGAAUUUUCUGUUUCUGUGUACAUAUCCUGUUAUUGUAUUUAUUCACUGAAAUGCCAUUCCUGUAAUAGAAUAGGGUAGGUCUAGCAUUAGAAAUUUUCCCACACUCUUCCUGUAAGAAAGACCUAUGCUGACAUAAGUCAGAUGGACAGGUGAUUUUGAACAUUGCCUCUGAGAGUUAACUUUAUUUCAGUAAUUCAGUUCUGUGAGAAUGAAUGCCUCUUGCAAAAAAGAAUAAAGAAAAAGAAUAAGAAUAUGAAAGAGAAUCUCAAGGUAUAAGCUGAAAACGAUCCUACUGUUUGUAUGACGAGUAUUUUUAAAUUUUUUACUUAAGAUAUUUCCCUGAUUAUUUCUGAUGCACUUUAAAAUGUCUCAGCAGUUCAAAGUGAUUGAGUCAGGAGUAUUUUCAAACUGCCUAUGUUAAGGCUCAGCAGUGCAUUAAAAAAUUGUGAAAGAAUUAUUCAUAGUAGUAUGUAAGUCAAGGUGAAGACCUGACUUUUUAUCUUUCACUGUAUUUUUCUUCCCUAUAUUUUCCUUCAGUAAUUCUGUCUUUAGUAUCUAAGGUAACAAGCAGCAUUUUAUGGCUGAUUGCAGUUUCUUAUGCAGAAAUCAAGAUGAUGUACUUUUUUAUCGUUACAAUGGCACUAGUUCAUUCAUUAUGUUUAAAGCCCAGAGUAAUUAUGCUGUAACUGUCCUUCACUGUUUCCAAGACCUGUUCAGUGGAUAAAUAUUGAUCAACUAAACAGCCAGAAGUCUACUGACCAGAUGUUAUUUUAGUCGUAAGGGAACUGUCAGUAUUGAAAUUCAGCUGUGACUGAAACAGAACUUUGGGGAGUUUUCGCUUUCAGUUAUUUUUAAAUGCCUAAAAAACAAUAAUUUACAAUGCUUAUAUUGUAUAGUACUAUCUUACAGAUGUGUUGGCUUUUCAACUAAGGAGGCAUGCCACUUUCAUGGCCUAGCAGCAGUAUUUUUCCUUUAAAUUAAAUCUUCUGAUAUAAAAGUUCACUUCAUGUUUUCUCAGUCCUUUCAGUCCCAAAGCCUGGUUUUUUUUUGCUUGUCACUUGGUGGUGCUUUUAUUUUCUCUUUUUUUUUGGGGGGGGGGGGAGGGGGGGCUUUUUUCUCAGUACAUAUCUUGUCAUUACUUAAGUUUUUUUUCCAGUGUCUCUCAUGGCAUACUUUUCAUGACUUUUCAUGAGAUGAUUUGUAGCUGUUGUAAGCGUCAGGAGUUAAAACAAUUUGUUCAGGUUUACUCUUGAAAAAAUUGUGAAUUUCAGGACUGCAUUUAUAGUUUUGGUGAAAGUGUUACAUAGAGUAACUAUUUUAAGAGCUGGGAAAGUCCUGCAAACUAGAGGGCAUUGAUUUUACUGGAAUGUACAAGACAAUAAUUUUUUUUUCGAACUGUGAAUGUACAUAAACACCUAGAUCACUGGGUCUAUAUACAUAACAAUUGUUAAAGGAAACCUGUUUCUGUAUCAUUUUCUGUAAUAAGUAGACAUUUUCGGAUUGCAAACUCUUUCCCAUUUUAAUUAGCUUUCUUAUAUAUGUUUUUGCCAAAUCUUUUACAAUGUUCUGUUUUUCAUUUAUUAAGGGUAGAAUGUUUUCUGUACCAUCCUUUUGGCAACUGUAUCAUGUUACUCACCUCAGCUCAGAAAGUAUGUCCUCUAAGCUUAUCUAGCUAAAAGAAAAUGCAUAUUACUGUUUUCAUGUUGGCUGCCAUAUUAUAUUGUUCUUUGUGAAGACUUGAAUAUGUGUGUUGAGUUGUUUUCACAGGGUCACUGUGAUGCUGCUGUGAGUGUUCAUGCUUUAGACUGUUUACAUAAAUAUCUGUUAUCUUGAUUUGUAAUGUUUUUGAAAUUGUUUAUGACCAUAUUUCUGUUCUCAUUUGUUUUCUUAUAACCAAAGAAGUUUUGGGUUAUAGAUUUUUUGUUUUAGUUUUUGGAUAAUUAGACAUCUGAGCUGUGAAAACAAUCGUUUUGUUAAUUGUAUUCUUCUUUCCAUGCAUAAGUUCAACGUGGACACUGUUGAAAAGCAAGAAAUCCAUGGUAUUUUUGAAGAUUUUACUGUCAAUUUUUCUGUCUUUUAUAGUUAAAGUCUAUCAUAUGUUGUUUGCUGUUUUUUGUGAAUUUGCAGUAGUGUUAUGUGUGUUCAGGGUGGAACGCGUCUUCAACUCCACUUAGGUAGGAUGAAUUUCUAGUUUUACAAGUUUCUACUGGUUUGGUUUUUGUAAUUACUGAGUGGCUGUGAAUCAUUUGGAAAUUUCUGUAAUACUGAUAGGAUUGGAAUGCUGAGCACUGCUCCCCUGUGGUUUGUUGUUACAAAUUUUGACUUGUGUACCUUGCGUUUGAUUACAUCUAUGUCAGUCUUGAAUAUACUGCUGGUUGAAGAAACGUGCGGUGAAGAGACAGCAUGCACCUUUCAUGUGCUCUUAUUGGAAAACAGUGAAAUGCUUUGAAGGUAACAUUGGCUGGUUCUGUCAUGGUUUUUGGCAUUCGUAGGUAGUUCUUCACUCUAUUAAAAAUUGAAUUUAGUUUUGAAGUCUCUAACUUUAAACCAGCCUUUAAGAGGUACUUAAUGAUGAUAUUGAACACAUUCAUUAUAUUGUGUUGUCCACUUUUGGAGCAUAUAUGGGCAAGUGUGUAUUUAGUUUUGUUUCUAAUUUUCAGAACUGUUUUGUCUCAUCUUACCUUAUACUGGAAAUACAUCAACAAAAUGGAAAUACCACAGGAAUGUUGGAGAUGAUAAUUUUAAUUUGAUCAGUAGUGUACUGGAUGAUGUACCUAGUGUGUCCUUUGACAUUUAAUUUUCUGAAGUCAUUUGGAUAAAAUUAGAAAUUUCUGUGCAGUGUGGGGGGUACACUAACACUAUAGUUACCAGGCAUAUUAGGACAACCAUUUGAGGCAGCUUUGAGUGUUUUUCAACUUGUCCUUUUGGGUUUUAAUUGGUUUGUUUUUUGGUCCAGACACUCCAGCUUUAGUGGUCAGGAAAUGUUUAAUGUAUGUUUUAGUGUUUAUAAGCUUUUCUAGUGUUCCUAUCUGGAAAAAAAAUUUCCUUGUCCUUUGUCAAAAGAUGAAAGAUUGUCCGAGUUGGUUUGGUUUUAGUUCUUGAUACCCAUUGUCUUUUUUGUCGUACUGAAGCUUUAAUUCUCUGGUUUUAUCUUUUUCUAUCUGUUUAGUUUAAUCCGUUCAGCAUUAUUAUAGUGAUGCAGGGGUAUCAUUUUUCAGGCAUUGUUUCUUUGAUUGAUGUCCUUGAAACUUCCAUCCUCUUGGUGUUGCUUCUAUUAUUUUUGAGUGGGCUUGGUUUUUGGGUGCCUCUGUCAUCUGGGAUAAUGCACUACUUUAAUAAAUUGUCCCCUCUUUUUACACUCCCCAUUUCAGAGGCAGCGGUGAUUUGUAUUGUUUGAAAAAUAAUAAUACAAAAGUAGUAUUUGUAUAGCAUCUGUUGCUGCUCAACAGCAAGUUUUAUGGGCUUAACAAUCUUUACUGAGGUCUGAUGUCUUACAGCGCCGUCUGAGAUUCAUCAAAUGUCUACAUUUGGCAGCAUUUCAUGGCUACUGUAGAUGAUUAAAAAGUUGUUGAAAACUAACCUCUAUUUUGAGUUGGUUAGGACUUUUCUGUUUGUAUUUACUCUCUUGUAACCAUCAGUUAUAAUUCUGUUACUUUUGUGAGAAAGUUUGUAAAGGGAAUUCUUUCGUCUGAAAACGUUUUGUGCUUUCAGGAGUACCACACAGAGGACUACUCACACUGAAAUUGUGCCAUCUUAUGAUUUUUGAUUUAUGUAUUCAAACCUUUGAAUUUGAAUCAAAAUUGUUUUGAAAUGAUGUGUUUUGAACUUCAUUGUAAUUUUUUUGGUAAACUAUUCAGUCUUGUUUUUUAACUUGUUGUCGGCUUUUUGAGGGAAGAAAAGUCUUUUUAAGCCUGACAGAUCGCCAUGGAGCAGGUUCUGGGAAAAAAAUGAAUACAUCUAGGGUAAGUGGGUGGUUGGCAGGUGCUCUGGUGUGGUUUGCUUCUUCUUUCCUUUCAAACAUCUGUCGUCAUUAUCUCCCCUCCUUAUUUUUUAAAGUUUGUUACUCUCUUGUAACAUGGUAUCUAUAAUCUUCGGCACGUUUAUGACCCUAUUGUGUUGCAAGUUCUGUAAAACACUUACUAAAACAAAACAUCUAGAGUAAGUGGGGCUUAAAGAAAAGAUGUAGCGAGUAGAAAUAAAGAAAAGCGAAAAUUGAGAAAUAGAAAUGGUAGCUAUUCAAAUAUAUCCUAAAUGGUAGAAUAAGGGUGCAUUAGACCCAUACUCUUUACUUUACUAUCCUAUUCUUGUUAAGAACAUUGUUACAGUGUAUUCUUUCCAUUUAUAUUGUUUUCCUUGUAGUGCAGCCUGGUUCAUGCCCUUGUUUUGUGUGCUACAAAUAAGCUACUAUUAAAUGAUUUUGUUGACAAUUUUUGUUCUUGUAUCUCCUUUUUGGAACCUUUUGUUAGAUACACAGUGCUUGUAAAUUUCUUUUUUGUUUUGUUCUGGAACUAUUUUGAGAUCCUAAUUUUAAUUAUAAGUGUUCUUGAGUUUCUACUUUUAAAAAAUGAAGUUAAUCUUACAAAUUUUGCAUAAUAAAUCCCAAUGUAUAGGUGAGCAUUGUUAACCAAUAUCUUCAUGAAAGUUUCAAGGGAAAGUUUACUUGGUUGAGACUGAGUAGAGACUUGCAAGUCAGGUACUUGAGUAAGAACAGUUUGUCAAUUCCGUUCUGUAGUAAUCUCCCUGUAUUGUGUUCCUGUCCAGUGAUAGCCACAGGAGAGGAGUGCUUUGGUUUCACCAAGAGCUUCUUUGUAAUUAUUUUAUAUUUACAACAGGCAUGUGGUUUUCAUGGUCCCCUAAGUUUGUGUUUUAAUGUGUAUUGAUAAGCUCUUAAAUUCAGCACUCAGUAUUAAUGGUUCACUUCUUGCCUCACCUGUCUCUGCAUACAAAGUUGGGAGUGGUCUUUGACAGUGACAACCUGUUUGACAAAAUGAUUCUAUACACAUAUGCAUCUCUCUAUUUUUGUUUUUACUGGGCCUUUAUCUUUGAACUGUUAAAAAUGAUUAUGGUUUUGUUUAUUCUUUUACUCAACAAAUUUGAACAGUCCGGCAAUUGUUGUCUUGAUUCUGUACUUCUGUUUCAAAGAUGUUACUUCAUGUACAGUGUGUAAGAGCUCCUUCAGUAUUGUGUCUUCUUUAUAAAUACGGCAUGGUUACACGGAUAACAGCUGUUACGUCAUAGAGUGCAUGUUGAAUACAACACCUGUCUUGUGUUCUAGAAAGGCACAAUGACGUUCCCUAUGCAGCAUAAAAACACUAUGAGAUAGAGAAGUAUUGAAGGGUUUCAAUCCCUCAUAGAAACUUCCAGGCAGCAUGCACUGAAAUGUGUGCUCUGUGUAUUAAUCAGUGCUUCACAUCUUCCGCUGAUGAUACCGUUUUGCAGAUGACAAAAUAUUGUUCCCUGAAAUCAUUUUACCAUGGUUUAUAUUUUAUGUUAAUGUGUUAAAGUUGAGAUGAUGUUCUUUCUUCCAAGAAGUCAGAUCUGUUUUCGUUGCCAACUUUAAGCUGUUGCUGGAACGUCCACUUUUAUAUUUUUUGUUAUCUUUUUUUUUUUGGAGUGAAAGUUAGAUUAUUUUUGCCCAAUAACUUUAUAAGAAAGCAAUACCUCUGUUUUUGCCUAUUUCAUAAUGUCAGUAAUUCUGUCACUGUUAAGCCAUUGUUUCAUUUCUUUCUUCUUCUUUUGUUCUGUUUUGAGGUGUUUUUUUUCGAAUUGCCAUCGCAUUAUAUUCUGCUUACUCUUGUUCAACUCGAUUUACUUAAAUGAUUUUCCUUCUUUUUCGUAUAGCUGUUUACCUCUCUGAUUUGCAGUUGGGAUGUGCAGAUGGUCAAACGAAUGUCUGCCUUUGAUUAGGCCAUUUGUCAGUUCCAUUUAGAAUUUAGGGUAUAUAAUGUUUUAUCUUCUGUUUGUCCACAAAGCUAUGCUUUGAGAGCACAUACAUGUAAAUGUUCUGCUGGAUUUGACGUUAUUUGCAAAGCAAAGCCUGGAAAAGUAUCAAACCUUUUCAUUGGCAUUGUAAUUCCAUUGGCAUUGUGUGUUCAGCAGUGCAAUCAAAGACUAUUUUUAUUUUGUUCUGGUAGUCCAGCCGUUUGAAGUAGGUCGCUGAGGAGAGAUAGAAGGGAGAUCUUGUGUUGUUGUGAAAGAAAUUGUUAGCAUGCUUGUCCUUGUACUGAGUUGGCUUGAGCUGUGUGUUUCUGCAGCCAACUGUAUUUGUGUAUCUGUCUGAGUGUGGGCAUAGGACUGUCUAUAUAUACAUUCAGUAACAUUUUCAUUUUUGCUUCCACUUUUCUUUCCCUUUUAAAGUAAAUGCGAGCUGUUUAUUUUUGAGAGGAUGAGUCUUGGCUCUGUGGCCCCUGAUUGAUAGUGUUCUUAUCAGUGGUGUCACAUGGUUGGAGAUUUUGUGUCUUGAGCAGUAUGGAAGAACUCUGUUUACGGAGGAAUGUUAUGCAUUAUCCUCCUUUUAUUAAUAAUAAAAAAAGAAUUAAUAAACUGUUGAUUCCUA
RNA transcript from Aplysia californica (California sea hare), 7681 nucleotides. RefSeq lists it as uncharacterized. The record is from RefSeq and is a predicted model, not a curated record. NCBI's taxonomy places the organism in Eukaryota, Metazoa, Mollusca, Gastropoda, Aplysiida, Aplysiidae. The transcript has 2 exons.